ACUGCUUCACAGCAAGAGGUUCAAUGAUGACAGCAUCUGGGGAGACCUCGGUGGACCUCGGACACCCGUCCCAUGGGUGUUAAGCCGCCCACCCUGGGUUGGGAGCCAGAGAAGAGCAGCCGGUCCCACUCCUGUCUUCACCCGCCUGUUUCCCGCAGCUUCCCUCUAAUCAUCCACCUACACCCGCUGCCCAGUUCCCCAGAAACCUGCCUAGUGUAAAGGGAAGCCAUUCUGGAGAAGCAAUUCAGAAAUCAGAAAGCAAGGCCCUGUCCUCCGAGUUCUCUCCUGGAUGAGGACCAAGGAGGUAUUUUGUGGCUCACAGAGGCUACAUCAGUCUCGGGUCCCUAACCCUUGCCUAGUUCAGCAGUAUCAUCUCACCCACCCUGGUCAUCCCAUUGUUAGAAGGAGCCAGGAAAGAAAGAAGAGAAAGGAAGAGAGGGAGGGAGAAAAUGGUCUCCAAGAAAAGAAAACUAUUGUCUGCUUCAAUCUUUCAUUUCUAUUCUCUCCCUUGGCAAGAAC
Non-coding RNA from Callithrix jacchus (white-tufted-ear marmoset), 519 nucleotides. The record is from RefSeq and is a predicted model, not a curated record. Lineage: Eukaryota; Metazoa; Chordata; Mammalia; Primates; Cebidae.